RNAcentral lists this ribosomal RNA (477 nucleotides) under uncultured organism. RNAcentral's name for it is "partial 16S ribosomal RNA". It matches the Rfam family "Bacterial small subunit ribosomal RNA", at positions 331 to 799 of the family's 1533-position model. The record is from RNAcentral.
GUACACUCCUACGGGAGGCAGCAGUGGGGAAUUUUGGACAAUGGGCGAAAGCCUGAUCCAGCAAUGCCGCGUGAGUGAAGAAGGCCUUCGGGUUGUAAAGCUCUUUUGUCAGGGAAGAAACGGUGAAAGCUAAUAUCUUUUGCUAAUGACGGUACCUGAAGAAUAAGCACCGGCUAACUACGUGCCAGCAGCCGCGGUAAUACGUAGGGUGCAAGCGUUAAUCGGAAUUACUGGGCGUAAAGCGUGCGCAGGCGGUUUUGUAAGUCUGAUGUGAAAUCCCCGGGCUCAACCUGGGAAUUGCAUUGGAGACUGCAAGGCUAGAAUCUGGCAGAGGGGGGUAGAAUUCCACGUGUAGCAGUGAAAUGCGUAGAUAUGUGGAGGAACACCGAUGGCGAAGGCAGCCCCCUGGGUCAAGAUUGACGCUCAUGCACGAAAGCGUGGGGAGCAAACAGGAUUAGAUACCCCUGUAGUCCCAUG